CAUGUGAUGUGUUUCGAUUAGCGCGAGAAAGAUGCGAAAAUGAAUGCUGAGCAGGUGUAACGGAGGCUUGCCUCUGGUGAUUACGUUUUGGUUGCACCAGCAACUAAAGCAAACUCUGAGGUGUGGAAAAGUUUUGACCAUGCUUAUAAUGAGAAUAAUGAGUGAAUAAUGACGCAUCAUCAGUGCGCGCAGGAGAGCGCUGAAGACAUCUACAGUGGAUUAAAUCAUUUUCCUCCACAAACAUGUAGACCUAGCCUAAUCUCUGAAGCAUCAAAAACCACUGGGCUGAAAUUGACUCCUUUGUGGAGCAUCUUGCAGAGAAAUGUAUAAGAGCCCAAUGUUGCGGGUGUCCUUCAUUGUGUUCUCAACUUACGCAACAACAGUUAUGAAACUCACAGAGAACAGAAAUUAAAUUACGAAAGGCUUAAAUAUUUUGAAGAGAGAAAUACCAGGAGGUGAUACAUAUAUGAAUCUUGGACUGAAACAGAAUGCAGUUACUCCUUUAAAACGACUGUGAAUAUUGAGUACUAAUCACUCAAACACCGAUCUUCUAAUCUUUUGUUUCUGCUAUGGCUAAAAUUCCUGCUGUAAACAUCUGCUUUUAAACUGCAGCCAAAUGAGCAGAUAUAUCCUGGAAAUUAUGGGACAGCCAGUGUGAUCAUAGCACUCACGGACGGGGAGUUAAAUGACUCUCAGUUUGUCACAGCACAGCAAGAUGCAAGUACACAAGCCAGUGAUGUCACAACGGAUGUGGCACGUUCUCUGGCAGAUGUGUAAUUGACACUGGCAUUUGCUCAAUAAUAGAGCUGACUGUUUGGUGCCCAUCUACUGUACCUUUGGGAGUUAUCGUAUACUGUGUGGGUGUAAAAGACUUCAACCAGACCCAGUGGUUGUGAGAGGAAAUGGAUUUUAGCAUGCCAGAAACAACAAUCAGGUCCUGUGCAGCUUUAGAGUGAAUGAUACAGCUACACUGAAUGAAAGACCUGUCACUGUUGAAGAUACACUCCUUCUUUGCCCUGCACCAAUCAUAAAUGAGGCUGGAAAGGUGAUAUAUCUGCAUGUUAGCAUGAAUGAGGGUUUGUCCUACAUCACAAGCUCAGUGCACAUCACCACUACUGAAUCUGUCUCCUCUGCUUUCUUUCAUCAGAGGAGUGCGCUUUUGCCAUCAAAUACUCAUGAAGAUGUAUGUGUGUAUGAUGGAACGGUCCUGCUCAUCUCGUUACUGGCUGUUUUCCUAUUGCUGGGUCUGGUGCUGAUGUGGUGGUUCUGGCCUCUUUGCUGUUCAGUGGUCAAGGAAGUGCCCCCACCCCCUCCCCAUGAGUCUGAACCCGAUGAUGAAGAUGGCAUGCCCAAAAAGAAAUGGCCUACAGUAGAUGCAUCCUACUAUGGAGGAAGAGGAGUCGGUGGAAUCAAAAGAAUGGAGGUGAUGCAUUUUCAUGUACACAGUGUGUCUGUUUUGACUUUAUAUUGGGUGUCUUGAUCAUAGGUUAACCUGGGCUGCAGUGGGAUGAAGACCACAAAUGACGAAUGAUGUCAUGAACCCUCAAGACACCAGAACACAUCACUGUGACCUUAAAUGGUCCCUGUCUGCCUGGUGCCAAAAUUAGAUCAUGUGACAUCACAAGACAAGCUGACGCCUGUAGAUUUACUCCUGUAAUUUCCAAAGGUGCAUUGGGGGAACAAGGGCUCCAUGAAGGAAGGAGCUAAACUGGAGAAGCCAAAGAAUGCUGUAAUGAAAAUGCCUGAGGAUGAAUAUGAGCCUUAUGAACCUAACCUCAGAAAUGUCUAUGACCAUCAUAGAAAGUGGUACAGUCCUAUUCAGAUAAACUGGAUGCUUUGUGGGCACUUUUCUGUCGAGGAUACGACCAGGUGUCACUCAUGAGACCUCAGCCCAGAGAUCAGGGGCGAUGCAUCAAUUUUACCCGGGUGAAAGCAGAGGAGCCAAGGUCACCGCCACGCAGCAACUGUCCACUUCCACCUCCGCCGCCCCCUCCAGACCAUCAUCCACUCAUGUGACCUCCGCCCAAAAGACCACCAUCCCGGGGACCCUCCAUCAACCACUCACCCCCAGGACCUCCACCAGCCCAGACAACCCCAGGUCCCCCGGACCCCCUCCUUCAUGACCCCUGCCCUGGAAACAGGCAUUGACAACAAUGGAGGCCCUUCACAGCUACCCUAAAAGCUCAGUCUUAAUUCAAAUUGGUGAUAUUUGCCAAAGCCGCUGGUUUCCCACAGUUUCAGAGUGAUGCAUUUGUUUAUUUGGAGUAAAGAUUUUGAGUUUUUAUUGUAAAUACAGGCACUGAAAGAGGAACUGCAGUAAUGCAUGAAAUUAUUACACAUGCAAAUGAAUCAUUUUUAAGGCACUUAAGAGCACUGAAUGUUGACUCUGGGUAUUUGUAUAUCAGAUUUAGCAUGUUGUUAAUGUUUCAGUUUGUUAUGUAUAAUAUACAUUAUGCCCUGUUUUAAUUUGUAUCAUAAUAUUAAUUGGUCACAUCUUUAAAAGGAAACUCAGAUGUGCUGUGACUGCAGGGCAGUACAAACCACUAAUUUAUUAAUAAGCCUUGGGUUCCUGGUAGGCACUUGAAUAUAAAAUGACAGGGUGUCCAUCACUGAUACAGGUCACUCAUCAUUAUAUUUUAUGUAAUAUAUUUUGUGUUUAACUUUAUGGAUCAUGGUAAUUAAUAGUAGUCCUACACAGCAAGAAAACAUUAAUGUAAUAAAUAUUAUGUUCAUGGGUUGGACUCUAGGUGUUCA
Molecule: long non-coding RNA, 2754 nt
Organism: Carassius gibelio (silver crucian carp)
Lineage: Eukaryota; Metazoa; Chordata; Actinopteri; Cypriniformes; Cyprinidae
Exons: 16
Source: RefSeq, a predicted model, not a curated record